RNAcentral lists this ribosomal RNA (475 nucleotides) under Niallia circulans. RNAcentral's name for it is "bacterial SSU rRNA". It matches the Rfam family "Bacterial small subunit ribosomal RNA", at positions 97 to 556 of the family's 1533-position model. The record is from RNAcentral. Lineage: Bacteria; Bacillati; Bacillota; Bacilli; Caryophanales; Bacillaceae.
GGCGGACGGGUGAGUAACACGUGGGCAACCUGCCUGUAAGACUGGGAUAACUUCGGGAAACCGGAGCUAAUACCGGAUAAUCCUUUUCCUCUCAUGAGGAAAAGCUGAAAGACGGUUUACGCUGUCACUUACAGAUGGGCCCGCGGCGCAUUAGCUAGUUGGUGAGGUAACGGCUCACCAAGGCGACGAUGCGUAGCCGACCUGAGAGGGUGAUCGGCCACACUGGGACUGAGACACGGCCCAGACUCAUACGGGAGGCAGCAGUAGGGAAUCUUCCGCAAUGGACGAAAGUCUGACGGAGCAACGCCGCGUGAGUGAUGAAGGUUUUCGGAUCGUAAAACUCUGUUGUUAGGGAAGAACAAGUACAAGAGUAACUGCUUGUACCUUGACGGUACCUAACCAGAAAGCCACGGGCUAACUACGUGCCAGCAGCCGCGGUAAUACGUAGGUGGCAAGCGUUGUCCGGGAAUUAUUG